AGUUGUCAUAGGGUAAUUCCCCAGGGUCACUGGAGUUACACCAGGGAUCACUUUCUCCUGUUAAGUGUCAACAUUGUUGACUACCAGACAUAGGACAUUAACGCAGGGGUGCUCAGCUACAAUGCUGAGCCAUCAUCUCCUCAGUGUACACUUACUCCUGGGAAGUUGUGAUGCAGCCCUGAACUAUGCAUACAAAUGAAUGGAGUGAGUAGUGAACUGUCAUAAGGGAAUAGGCAACAGUGUCAUUUUUACUAGAGUUUUACUCCCAAAAUUCCUUGAGUAUUCUUAAAAAAAAAAAAGAUAAAAAAGUGCAUUAGAGUUGUUAGGUGGCAGUGCAGCUCUCAUGAAACACAAAGGGAUGAGAACUACACAUCACGAGCCAGGUGCUGAAGUGACAGAAUCAAUAUUCAGUGGAUUAACAUCUGUUUAUACCAGGUGAGGAUUUAGACCAACGCUGUAAGCUAAACAGUGCAGACUGAAUAUGAAAUGAGUUUUCUGCAGAUAUUAGGGCUGGAGGGAAUGCAUAGCAGGUUUGCCAGUGUUAACCCUAACUGCUGCUUUUUUUUUUUUUUUUUUUUUUUUUCUUCAGAUUGGAUUGGCUGCAAGAAUGGGGUCAGCUCAGCCUCCCGGUAGAAUCUUAAUUACAAUUUCUUGUGUACCUGCCAACAUGGAAUCUGAUGGGUACAACACCAGCAUGCUGCCUGCUGUGUCAGCUGGGAAGGGAGAAGUCCCAGCCUGCCCCUGCAGGGAGCAAGCUCCUGGGGUCUGCCUGGAGCCUGCGUCGACCAAGAUGCCACAAACCAGCUUAAGCAUGAUGGCUGAGGAAGAACUACAACUCAGAGGAACCUCGAGCAUGGCUGUUGGCCACACUACUGGCAGCUCAAUAUAUGUUUUUUCUCAUCUACCAUGA
Molecule: long non-coding RNA, 910 nt
Filed under: Anas platyrhynchos platyrhynchos (common mallard)
Lineage: Eukaryota; Metazoa; Chordata; Aves; Anseriformes; Anatidae
Description: lncRNA (ENSAPLG00000019529.1)
Source: RNAcentral